AGCUCCAAUAGCGUAUACUAACGUUGUUGCAGUUAAAAAGCUCGUAGUUGGAUUUCUGAUCUUUGCCAAUGGUUGUCAGUCCGCGUGAUUGGCUCCUUGCGCAGAGGUCAACAUAUGUCACGAGCCAGUGUGAUCUAUUUAUUUAGGUCCACUGGGUAAUGACUCGUUUACUUUGAGAAAAUUAGAGUGUUCAAAGCAGGCAUUUGCCUUGAAUAUGUUAGCAUGGAAUAAUAGCAUAGGACUUCGGUUCUAUUUGUUGGUUGUUCGAGAACUGGAGUAAUGAUUGAUAGGGACGGU
This 297-nucleotide ribosomal RNA is filed under the name uncultured eukaryote. RNAcentral's name for it is "partial small subunit ribosomal RNA". It matches the Rfam family "Eukaryotic small subunit ribosomal RNA", at positions 587 to 882 of the family's 1831-position model. The record is from RNAcentral.